UACGGAGGGUGCGAGCGUUGUCCGGAAUCACUGGGCGUAAAGGGCGCGUAGGUGGCUUCUCAAGCGCGCGGUGAAAGCCCGGGGCUCAACCCCGGGUCGGCCGUGCGGACUGGGAGGCUCGAGCACUGUAGGGGCGGGUGGAAUUCCGGGUGUAGCGGUGGAAUGCGUAGAGAUCCGGAAGAACACCGGUGGCGAAGGCGGUUAGCUGGGCAGUUGCUGACACUGAGGCGCGACAGCGUGGGGAGCAAACAGG
This 253-nucleotide ribosomal RNA is filed under the name uncultured bacterium. RNAcentral describes it as "partial 16S ribosomal RNA". It matches the Rfam family "Bacterial small subunit ribosomal RNA", at positions 524 to 776 of the family's 1533-position model. The record is from RNAcentral.